AAAAUGCUAAUAAAUACUUUAACGGUCCAAUAGGAUCUCACUAUCUCGGACUCAGAACAUUCAGUUCAAAUUUCCAAGAAUAAGCUAACCGUUACCCACCUGGAAGAUUAAGUACUUUACUGUAGCACCAACUUUUUUUCAAGUUCCAAACUGUCUUAUGGAAGGCUAAGGGGGACCUGCAAAAUCAAGGUAGCUACAGUAAUAGCUAACUAACGUUAGCAAGCUUAGCGAGGCUAUUUGAUGUGAGCCACUAUGACAAACAAUAGGCUACUCCAUGUACUGAUAAUUAAUGUUCUGCAAUCAAUGCGCCCUUGCAAGUGGCAUAUUUGCCGUCAAUAUAGACCUCAAUACAUAGUUAGCUAGAUGAGUUGGCUACUUGGUGGUACUCACAAUACGCAUUUGUUAUGUGCCAAAUCUCAUUGGAUUUAACGUUACUGCAGUGAGAUGCAAGUUAGGCUUGUCAGUUAGCCUGAGGUUAGUUUGAUAAACUGUGGGGGUAAUUCAGGACACAAAGCACCCAUUAGGUGUUGGGGUGUAAUAAACAGUCAUUUUUACAAGCAGACAGAGAAGUAGAGUGGGUGGACUCCCUUGGUCAGUUGGUGCAGGCCAAACCUUAAACUUGGAAUCAUCUGUAGUUACACCACUAUAUCUAAUAUUACUUAACCUAUUUCCUCAGACUCUCACCAUUUUCACUGUUAUAAAAAGGACUUUAUAAAAAUAAAUUGGAUUGAUAUGCUUAAGGAGAUAGGCCUGGUCAGCUACUUGGACAUUACUAGGUCUAACCAAACUAUAUUUAAGUUGACCCUGGGUGUCACCCAGAUAGCUAGUUUAGUCGGUGUGAGAUGGAUGUAGAUAUAAAGCCAGAGGAGGAUGAGAUGGAGAUAUCCCACCUGUCAUUUUGUCUGACUCUUUUAAUGCAAGUUAUUCAUAUGCCGAAAAUUGGUAUGACACAACAAAACAAAGCCUUAUUUGUGCUCCGUUAGAAGAUACAAAAUCAAGUGAUAGGGAGAUUAAAAUUAAUUCAACAACAGUUGGUGCUCCAGCUGUAAAUGUGGGUGGUAAAGGUGUUGUCCAUGUUCACACAGAACAGGAUAACCCAAGCACCCCUGUAGGGAAUUUAAUCAAAGGUAAGCCAUGUUUUUACAUAUCUCCCAAUGAUAUUCAGAUUGGAAAAGUAUGUACCUGUUCUCAGUCGCAACAUUAGGUUGCAGAAAGUGUUUAUUUGGGAGGACAAAUCAACCCAACUGCACAGAUAUUUAGCAGCUUUCAAAUACAGCCACUAAACAAUGAUCAAGUGCUGACUGAUUAUGUUAAUCUCCCAAGUCAAAGUAUUGCCAAACCGUUUCUGAUCAUUUCACCUGCAAUAGCAAGGGACAGUAAUUUAACUCCAGUGAUGCAAGCAUGUCAUAUGAGGACUCACAGGCCUAUUCUUCCAGCCUAUUGUAAACCAUUUACUUCUACCUCUGUUCAAGAGGAAGACUACGACGUUAAAAUUAAAAAAAGAGGGAAGAAAAUGGUCAAGGCACAAAAAGGGAGAAAAUAUGGAGAUCUGUGGCGACAUCGUGUUAAUUACUCAAAACAUAUUUCGCAAAGGUCAGCUGGAAAAAAGUUGAAGGAUCCAUACUCCAACUGCAAGAAAAUUGGCUUGAAUUUCAAUGUUGGGUCUGGAUCCAAUCAGAAACUAGAUGUGCAGUUGCUGACUAAAGGUGUGAUGGUUGAGGUUUUGCUAAAGAAGUUAAUAGAGCUCAGCAGCAUGUUGUCUGUGACAUUCUAGAGUACAACUUUGAUCUUGGUUUGCAAAAGCAUCAAAGGUAUGAUUUUGCGACACGUACUAUGCACAAAUUAAGAGAAUUGAUGAGAAUCCGAAAAACUGUUCUAGGAAAACCUGAAUUGGUAAUGGAGGUGUUUACCCUUCCUGAUCCCAACACGAUAAAAGGUUCAAAAUAUGCCCUUUCAACUGCAAAGAAUUAUGACCGUGUGUCAGAAAAUCUUGAACCUGCUGACACGCUCUUAAUGGACAAAUCUCAUCUGGACAUCGUAUCCAGACUUACUCAGCAUUUCAAGACAGACAACCUGUUAACUGAGAAAGAUGUAACGCCGUGUACUGGUGGAACGGCGUACAGCCUUGCAAGGGAACAAAACGGGCAUCUAAUGGCCUCUACAAUAUCAAAAACAAUGAAGGACCCCUAUCCCCUCUGUAAGAAAAUAGGAUUAGAACUUGAUGUGAAAUCCAAUUUUGGGGCAAAAGAGAAAUGUAAUUUGGAAUUAUUGACCAACAGUGUAAUGAUUGAACUUGGUAAUUUUGCCAAAGAUGUUUGUGGAACUUACAAGCAAAUUGUCAUUGAUGUCCUAGAGCACAAUUUUGAUCUUGAUUUGCCUAUUGAGAAAACCAAGCUGUCUACCUAUAUUAUUACAAAGUUGAGACGAGUUGUUAAGAAAAUGACAUGCAUGGCACAUAGAAGGAAACCUCCAUAUUUAAAGGAAUCAUUCUCACUGGGGGUUGGCACAAGAAAGAAACCUGCAGUGAUUUCCAGUAAAAUGUAGGUCAUUAACUCAAUUGACUCAAUUGUGUGGAAAUAUCAAGGACCGAAAAAAGUAACAGAAAGAAAACGAUUCGAUUUGAGAAGGAAAAAGGGAGAAAGAGCCACUUGCAAAGUAAGAGACACAAAGGCAGAGAAAUUUCAUAGAGGUAGACGGGUAGGCCUAGUUUCUCAGUCUGUGAAGAAACAGACCAUCUCCAACGAGACUGGACUCACAUUGUCAGCUGGAAAAACGAAGGUCCCUGUCAGCAAAAUUAAAAAGGCAAACCUUUUUAAGCCUUUUGCAGAGAAAGUGGUGAAAAGCCUUUUGCAGAGAAAGUGGUGAAAAACUGCUACCCCUUGUGCAAAGAAGUAGGUGUGGAACUUGAUGUGAGAUCCAAACCACCAUCCAAAACAAAACUUGACUCACAGUUACUGACAAAUGGCGUAAUGUAUGAGGUUCAUAAGUUUGCAAAAAAUACAAAAAAGGCUUAUAUGUAUACUGUCUAUGAUAUACUGGAAUAUAAUUUUGAUCUAGAUUUGCAAAAUCAGAAACGCUGUCAAUUUGCCAUACAUAUUUCAUCUAAACUGAAACGAAUGGCUAAACGGAAACAUGUCACAAAUGAAGACUUUUCAAAAGAAGUGUUUAUAAUACCGCUUUUGACUAGACAAUACAAGAAAAAAGAAGCUACUCCACCUGCAAGAUUGUCAAAAAGACAAUUGGAUUUGAAAAGGAUACAAGAGGCAGACGAUACAGAGGAGAAGAUUAACUAUCAGAAGAUGGUUAACAAGACCGGUUUGAAAUAUCUGGUCGCUGAUGUAUGGUCUCUGCAUGCUGAAGAGAUCAUCUCUAUCGAAACAGAUGAAACUGUCAAGCUUGGCCAAGAUAAUGGACCCACUGACUUCUGCUUAAAGGAGUCUGACGUUCACCCUGGGGUCACAGAGCAAACCCCAUACCCAGAGAACUACCAAGUUGACAUUUGCAGGAAAAUGAUCAAUGAAAUUGUUACGAGUGGUGAAAUGCAACAGAUGAGAUGGAUUUUUGUAACCAUUUCAAAGUGUUUUGGUGCUGGGACUGGUUCCGAAAAGAAAUUUGAACAAAUCCUCGCUGAAUACAGAUCAGACAUCCUACCACUGAUGGUUGAGAAACAUUGUGGCUUUAGUUCCACUGAAAAGACAAUGAUGUGCCUUGUAAGUCAGCUCUUUUGUGGCUUACAUUUGAUUGAUGGCUUUGCUCACCAGGCAAAAACAAGUCUUCUACUUUGGGAAAAUAUGAUUUUAGGAGAUAAGGAAGUAGGAGUCCAUAGCUCCCCUAACAUUGGGACAACAGAGUAGGAGUCUGGAACAGUGCGUUUGGUGAGUUCUGUGAGUGAUGCUGUGCAAGAGCUUGGAUGGGCAGAGGACGGUCAGCUUAUUCCAUUCGAAACCUUUUUGACCAGCAAAAAAUAAUUUGAUGAAGUUCCUUUGUCUCUAUCCAUUGGACAUAGAAUUGAUGGUCUGUUUCAUAAUUCUGCUGGGGUGUAUAGCAUCCAUGAUGAUUUGGUUGAAUUUACCAGUACGUACGGAGCUGAGAGUAGUUUGCUUGCCACAGUUGUUGCUGAUUUGGAGGUUCAACAGUUCAAGGCCGGAUGCAGAGCUCUGGGUCUGGUUUCAAAGCUUAUCAUUGAUCCUCUCUGGAGAGCCUUAACUUUGAAGGGAAACGUGUUGGAGAUGGAAGAAAGAUACCAAACCCUUGUUACCAAACUCAAGGAAUGGCAGGAAGAUGGGAGAGACCUUGUUGAAGGAAAUUCAUGCUUGUUUGAUGAAAUUGAGGUACCCAAGAACCUUGUGUUUGACAGGCUUACCAUGUGGACCGACACAGACUUUUUUGAGUUGACUGUUCAGAUUGUUGAGUUGAUCCUAGCCAGUUUUCUGAAGGUAUGUUCUAUGAUGCUUCCAGUCGAUUUAGAGCUCCUGACACAAAAGAAUGAUCGAUUCAGAAAGGAUUUGGCAAUAUUAGAUCAAUUGCAAAAAGCUAAGUCAAAUGCAGUCAGUAUUGCCAUUGAAGGCAUGGACAUGUGCAAGAAGAAUCACACUUGGGAAUGGCUGUCCUUUUUGGAUGAACCAAAAAUAGUGUCAAUGAGGAAAACAUUCCAGACAGUGUAGGCAAAGGAAGAAGAAAAGCUCUCUGCCACACCUGCAGAAGAAUGAAAAUGGUAAAGGAAUAGACAUGACAGACAGAGUGAGUGAGUCUUUUACGUGUUUAUUUAUUUACUAAUGAACCACAGUAGGACUAUACAGGACAUAACCUUUUUUUAUAACAGGUUUAACUUUGCCCCUGUAACCUGGUGAUGACAUUGCCUAUACAGCUCUUUCAAAAAUGUUGCAUGAACGUGAUUUUCUUUCUAGCACCUUAACUUUUGUGUUCAGACUGGUGAAAGAUAAACAGCAAUGCAACCUCAGACAAUAAGUAGAUGCAAGUAUAAUAUAGUUACACUAUAUACCUAUUUUGUGAUAUAUUGUAUAGCCUAAUGAUGUUCAAACGCGGUGUCAGUGAAUGUUGAAUGUCAAAUAACGCUUAUCCAUCAUCCAUGCUUCGGCUCAAUGGUUGAAUUUGCAUAUUUCCUUGGCCUUCUUUUGAUGCCUGGUCUUCUUUUUGAAAAGACUAAUUGAAUGAAAAAAAAUCUAAUUUUGAAAGGAGACCAGUCAUUAUUUGAGUGUUAUUAGCUUAUUUCUGGACCAUUUUUCCCCUCACUUUUUUGUAUGACCAUUGAAUUGCCUACUUGAAUGGUCAUCUUAAAUAGAAACAAGAUGGAGAGCAAGGCUCUGAAAGUUGUCAACUUUUCCACUGUUCAAAAUGAAUCAUGCUUUAUUUUUUUAAAUACCUUUUUUUAAAUCAUAUUUUGGUAAUCCGUUUUUGAGAGCCUGUUUUAUCUCUAUAUUUUUGUUGGAGAUCAAGAUGUUUUCAUUAGGACAAAUGCACUGCAGUGCUUUUCUAUCUGCUGCAACAUUCAACGUUGCACAUUUCUGUAGACUUCAGGAAGAACAUGCUUUUAUAUAUAAACAUCAAAUAAUUUGCAAAAGGCCGAGUUCCAGGUUUGUGAUGUCCACCAUGAGAGAUUCUCAUUAAAGUUGAACCAGUGACUAGUCUCAGAUGGGGAGCUGGACCUCUUGAAGACCAAGCUAGACUGGCAGGCCUGUGGAUCUCUUGUUCUGGGCUACUAAGAGGUGCUGCCAGAACUGGACUCGGCACUAUCAAUUCACAGACCACCACCUACAGCCCCUGCAUACAAACCUGCACAUAGGACAAGUGCUGGGCCUCAGUCACAACGUCAUCACUGAUGCUCUGACUGAAACUAGCCUACACCAACUGGUCUUUGCCAACUGUUCCACUAACCUACCGUAUAGUGUGCAUUGGAGUGCUUGCCUGUGAUUGAGAAAGCGUGCGAUGUAGCCUCUUCAACAACAGACUUGCAAACAGAACAUCCUUCCUGACACACAAGACAAGAGUUCUGAGGUCUUGUAAUGAGGGAUGAGAGGACUGCCAAUAGAUUAAACUGAUUCAUUACUUUGAUCAGUCCUACUUUCAACACUUCAUAAUAAAAAUGUACUCUGAUUGCCCACUUAGGCUUGCAUGGAUUUCAGUGGAGUUAAACAUGACACAUGCAGUGUCACUGUUUCGGGGCUACGAGAAGGGGUCGAGAAGGGGCUACGAGAAGGGGUCGAUUUGGAAUUCAGCACUGUCCAUGGGUUGACCGACCUGAACCUUUUUUUUUUCUUAAAUGCUUUUUUUUUCUUCACAGUACAGCUGGAAAUGUAAAGAUUGAAAUAUAGUAGGGGCAUAGACAGAGGGUGGCCGAGGUGGGGCCCAAUCCCUGUUGCCAGGGGGCCCAAUCCCUGUUGCCAGGGGGUAUAUCUGGUACAGAGUCGGGGAGCUUAGACCACUAUACUAGACUCCGUCAUGACUGACCUGCACUUUUUACCAGAACAGGAAUACUGUGUUCAUCAGAUUCUCCUCACUGUAAAACUCAGAAUGGUCUGAGGGACCACAGACUCACAAAACAUUGUAGCUCACCUGACUGGAAAACACAGCUCUUGGUGGUGCCAAUGUCUGACAUGAAACAAAAAUUAAAACACAACAGAUAAUUGCUCUCUACUUCCUACCACAAUCUUAUAUAUUACAUACUUAGAAUACACUCAUAUUAGGCCUAUUUCUCUUUGGUUGGGGAAUUCAAUGGAAUUCAAGUGGACUAGCUACCACUAUGGCAUUUUGAUGUUAUGGCGCCAGCGCUGGCUGGCUGAGAAGACAAGUAAAUGGGCUAAUAGCUGGCAGGGCAAUUUGAGUUUUUCCAACUUUGUAUUACCGUAUCAAAUAAUUUAAUGAAGGUAGAAAAAUAACUUUAUAUCAGUGUUAUGCAUGUUGUUCAAGCGUGUAACUGCCCUCUCAUUCGCUAGAAUGGUCCCACCUGAUCUCGCCUCCUCCCGACUUCCUUCCAUCUUUGAAGACAUGUAUUUUCAUUGUUAGAGUGGCCACUUGAGUAUCUUAUCUAUAUAAUUGUCAUGACUGUCGCUCCUUGGUGAGGAUUAAAGGUGCCGGAUCAGCUAGGCCAAUGGCUGACAGCCAAACUCUCUCUCUCCUGGGGGAGUUGGCCCGGUUUUAUGAUUUAACGACCGGAUUGUAAAUACCUGGCAGAAACUCUCCCUUUGGCUCUGCAGUAUUGAAUGUCUGAGUGUUACAGAGAGACUCUUGCUAAAAACUUUAACAUCCAAAGAUUUGACAUUGGAACAUUAGUUUUGAAAUCCAAACGCUUGGAAUGGUUGGUGGGUUUAUUAUUUUGAUGGUGUAACAUUGUAACUUUAAGAGCUUUCACAAUGUAUUGAUCAGAUUUGCAUCUAAAUGUUGUAUAAAAUAAAUGAUUAAGUAUAAGAAUACUGUUGUGAAGAUAAAAUAUGAUUUUAGCCUUCUAAAUGAGAAUUGUUUUUCAUAUAAACAUUUACUAAGUCAGUAACCACGUCCACAUGAGCACAGACUUCGUGUCAGCAUGAUGGAACGCCCCUUUUUAUGGUUAAAUCUCUACAGUUGGGUAAUUUAAAGUAGUCUAUGUAGAACAAAAGAAGAACAGUUCCCUAUCACCACUGUGAUACACCUCUGAUGGAUCCAUUCUAACGAACACUCCAGAACAAAAGAAGCCUACAACUAGAAAUUGUGACCUCUGGUGGGCCACCAGAGACUUACAGCGAGCCACCGCAUUGAACUAUUGAGUUCAACAGAGAGACGACAGAGAAAGACAUCUACGCGUAAAUAUGUAUUGCAUUCCUUUUCUGAAUGAGUGGUUGUUAGGGUACUAAAUAUCCAUAUUUACAGUGAGUGUGUUUUUCAACUGUAUGUACGAUAAUUCCACUCUCUUUGUCUCUCCUGCUCCUUAUCUUUCCCCACCCCCUUUCCAUUGUGUAACAAGCUGUCAUAUCGGGUUAGUCCACUAGGGACUGUGUUUCAUUGCAUUACGUUAGUAAUAAAUAAUCUACACUGUG
This is a long non-coding RNA of Oncorhynchus kisutch (coho salmon), 8030 nucleotides long. RefSeq lists it as uncharacterized. The transcript is spliced from 5 exons. The record is from RefSeq and is a predicted model, not a curated record. Lineage: Eukaryota; Metazoa; Chordata; Actinopteri; Salmoniformes; Salmonidae.